Molecule: ribosomal RNA, 468 nt
Filed under: uncultured bacterium
Lineage: Bacteria
Description: partial 16S ribosomal RNA
Rfam family: Bacterial small subunit ribosomal RNA
Source: RNAcentral
GACGAACGCUGGCGGCGUGCUUAACACAUGCAAGUCGAACGGCAAGGCCCUGCUUUUGUGGGGUGCUCGAGUGGCGAACGGGUGAGUAACACGUGAGUAACCUGCCCUUGACUUUGGGAUAACUUCAGGAAACUGGGGCUAAUACCGGAUAGGAGCUCCUGCUGCAUGGUGGGGGUUGGAACGUUUCGGCGGUUGGGGAUGGACUCGCGGCUUAUCAGCUUGUUGGUGGGGUAGUGGCUUACCAAGGCUUUGACGGGUAGCCGGCCUGAGAGGGUGACCGGCCACAUUGGGACUGAGGUACGGACCAGACUCCUACGGGAGGCAGCAGUGGGGAAUAUUGCACAAUGGGCGGGAGCCUGAUGCAGCGACGCCGCGUGCGUAAUGACGGCCUUCGGGUUGUGAACCGCUUUCGCCUGUGACGAAGCGUGAGUGACGGUAAUGGGUAAAGAAGCACCGGCUAACUACGUG